UUCUAGACUUCUCACUUCUCUUUCUUUCUUUUUUUUUUAGACUAGUCUCACUCUGUUGCCCAGGCUGGAGUGCAGUGGCGCGAUCUCAGCUUACUUCAGCCUCCGCCUCCCGGUUUCAAGUGAAUUCUCCAGCCUCAACUUCACAAGUAGCUGGGAUUACAGCCACUUUUUAUCUUCUCUCCUGCAAUCCAACCCACAUAAUUUCCAUGAAGAAAGCGGAGUGGUGUCAUUUUACAACAAGAAAACUGAGUUAAGAAUAAGUCCAAUCAAUUGCUAGGUGUUGAGACUGAAAUGGAAGUCUCUUAGUACUCCACCCAAGGAUUUUCAUAUUAAACAAUUAUCUUGUCA
This 348-nucleotide long non-coding RNA is filed under the name Homo sapiens (human). RNAcentral's name for it is "non-protein coding lnc-MAP3K9-3:9". Lineage: Eukaryota; Metazoa; Chordata; Mammalia; Primates; Hominidae. The record is from RNAcentral.